GAUGAACGCUGGCGGCGUGCCUAAUACAUGCAAGUCGAGCGAACAGACGAGGAGCUUGCUCCUCUGACGUUAGCGGCGGACGGGUGAGUAACACGUGGAUAACCUACCUAUAAGACUGGGAUAACUUCGGGAAACCGGAGCUAAUACCGGAUAAUAUAUUGAACCGCAUGGUUCAAUAGUGAAAGACGGUUUUGCUGUCACUUAUAGAUGGAUCCGCGCCGCAUUAGCUAGUUGGUAAGGUAACGGCUUACCAAGGCAACGAUGCGUAGCCGACCUGAGAGGGGGACCGGCACAUCGGGAACUAGGACACGUUCCAGACCCCAAAGGGGGGCAGCAGAGGGGAAUCUCCGGCAAUGGGCGAAACCUUGACGGAGAACGGCCGCGUGAGUGAUGAGGUCUUCGGAUCGUAAAACUCUGUUAUUAGGGAAGAACAAAUGUGUAAGUAACUAUGCACGUCUUGACGGUACCUAAUCAGAAAGCCACGGCUAACUACGUG
RNAcentral lists this ribosomal RNA (496 nucleotides) under uncultured bacterium. RNAcentral describes it as "partial 16S ribosomal RNA". It matches the Rfam family "Bacterial small subunit ribosomal RNA", at positions 28 to 507 of the family's 1533-position model. The record is from RNAcentral.